AAAAGCUUUAGUUUUUGGCUAAUCUUAGUUGAUUUAAUUAGGUUUUAAUUAAUAAUAUUCCAAGACAAAACUUUUAAGCCAUAAAUAUUAUAGUUGAAUGUAAUUAAAAUUAGUCCAGGAAAAAUAUGUGCCAGCUUCAGCGGUAAAACAUAUUAAAUUAUAAAAGGGCAAAACUAUGUAAAAUAUCUUAUGGAUGUCUACUCUAUAAAUAACAAAAAUAAAUAAGUUAUAUUAUGGUCUAAUAUUAUAAUAUAAAUUAAUAAACAAAUUUUUAUAAAGAUACCACUAUAAAUUCAGGAAAGAAACUAGGAUUUGAUACCCUAUUAUUCUGAACCUAUUUCUCCAGAGAAUUAAGAAAUUCUUAAAAUUAACAAACCCGGCUGUAUACCCUAAUUUUCAGAGAAAUUUGUCUUUUAAUUCGACAAUCCCCGAAAAACCUUUCUUAAGCUUGUAUAAAACAUCCUUUAUACCGCCGUAUAAGUAUACAUUAAAAAGUAACUAAAAAAGAUAAAAAUAUCACAAACUUCAGGUAAAGGUAAAGAAAAUGCUUAAGUUAAGAUGAAUUGCAUUUAUCUAAUAUAAAUGAAUUUGACUUAAAUUCCCGGCUGAAAUCCCUCAAUGAAUUUGGAUUUGAAAGUAAUUAAACUUUACAAAAGUAUAAUGAAUAUCUUAUGGGUAUGAGUACAUAUCGCCCGUCACUCCCCUUUAAAUGGGGGAUAAGUCGUAACAUAGUAAAUUUACUGGAAAGUGAAUUUUGAGAACU
This 763-nucleotide non-coding RNA is filed under the name Laemobothrion tinnunculi. Lineage: Eukaryota; Metazoa; Arthropoda; Insecta; Psocodea; Laemobothriidae. The record is from RNAcentral.